This 253-nucleotide ribosomal RNA is filed under the name uncultured bacterium. Its description in RNAcentral is "partial 16S ribosomal RNA". It matches the Rfam family "Bacterial small subunit ribosomal RNA", at positions 524 to 776 of the family's 1533-position model. The record is from RNAcentral.
UACGGAGGGUGCAAACGUUGCUCGGAAUUAUUGGGCGUGAAGCGCACGUAGGCGGUCCGACAAGUCGGGUGUGAAAGCCCUCGGCUCAACCGAGGAAGUGCACUCGAAACUGUCGGACUUGAGUACGGGAGAGGAUCGCGGAAUUCCCGGUGUAGAGGUGAAAUUCGUAGAUAUCGGGAGGAACACCAGCGGCGAAGGCGGCGAUCUGGACCGAUACUGACGCUGAGGUGCGAAAGCGUGGGGAGCAAACAGG